RNAcentral lists this ribosomal RNA (458 nucleotides) under uncultured bacterium. RNAcentral's name for it is "bacterial SSU rRNA". It matches the Rfam family "Bacterial small subunit ribosomal RNA", at positions 15 to 518 of the family's 1533-position model. The record is from RNAcentral.
GAUUCUAGCUCAGAACGAACGCUGGCGGCAGGCCUAACACAUGCAAGUCGAGCGCGCCCUUCGGGGUGAGCGGCGGACGGGUUAGUAACGCGUGGGAACGUACCCUUUGGUAGGGAAUAGCCACUGGAAACGGUGAGUAAUACCCUAUGAGCCCUUCGGGGGAAAGAUUUAUCGCCAAAGGAUCGGCCCGCGUUAGAUUAGGUAGUUGGUGGGGUAAUGGCCUACCAAGCCUACGAUCUAUAGCUGGUUUUAGAGGAUGAUCAGCAACACUGGGACUGAGACACGGCCCAGACUCCUACGGGAGGCAGCAGUGGGGAAUCUUGGACAAUGGGGGCAACCCUGAAUCCAGCCAUGCCGCGUGAGUGAAGAAGGCCUUAGGGUCGUAAAGCUCUUUCGCCUGUGAAGAUAAUGACGGUAGCAGGUAAAGAAACCCCGGCUAACUCCGUGCCAGCCGCGGC